RNAcentral lists this long non-coding RNA (845 nucleotides) under Nicotiana tabacum (common tobacco). RNAcentral's name for it is "long non-coding RNA (NTAB_LNC011250)". Lineage: Eukaryota; Viridiplantae; Streptophyta; Magnoliopsida; Solanales; Solanaceae. The record is from RNAcentral.
AUAUGAGUUGAAUUUUUAGGAUAUAAAUAGAAAUUUUAGGAUAUGACUUGAACUUUUGUGGAUAUAAAUUGAACCUUUAGGAUAUAAAUUGAACUUUGAGUUUAUGUUUAAACUCGUAGGAUAAGAAUUGAUGAACUUUUAGUUUUUAGGUUUUGUUCUUGUGAAUUGAACUUGUACGAUGACUUGAACUUUUUACGAUACGAGUUGAAACUUUUAGGAUAUGAGUUGAACUUUUAGGAAAUAAAUUGAACCUUUAGGAUAUGUAUUGAACCUUUAGGAUAUGACUUGAAGUUUUAGUUUAUGUUUAAACUCGUAAGAUAUGAAUAUAACUUUUAGUUUUUAGGUUUUGUUCUUGCGAAUUGAACUUAUAGGAUAUAAAUUGAAGAUUUUAUGUAUGACUUGAACUUUUUAGAAUAUGAAUUGAAACUUUUAGGAUAUGAGUUGAACUUUUGGGAAAUAAAUUGAACCUUUAAGAUAUGUAUUGAACCUUUAGGAUAUGACUUGAAGUUUUAGUUUAUGUUUAAACUCGUAAGAUAUGAAUAUAACUUUUAGUUUUUAGGUUUUGUUCUUGUGAAUUGAACUUGUAGAAUAUAAAUUGAAGCUUUUAUGUAUGACUUGAACUUUUUAGGAUAUGAAUUGAAACUUUUAGGAUAUGAGUUGAACUUUUAAGAAAUAAAUUGAACCUUUAACAUAUGUAUUGAACCUUUAGGAUAUGACAUGAACUUUUAGUUUAUGUUUAAACUCGUAGGAUAUGAAUAUAACUUUUAGUUUUUAGGUUUUGUUCUUGUGAAUUGAACUUGUAUGAUAUAAAUUGAAACUUUUAAGAUAUGAGUUGAAUUUUCAGG